GUAGCUAAUACCGCAUAACGUCGCAAGACCAAAGAGGGGGACCUUCGGGCCUCUUGCCAUCGGAUGUGCCCAGAUGGGAUUAGCUUGUUGGUGGGGUAACGGCUCACCAAGGCGACGAUCCCUAGCUGGUCUGAGAGGAUGACCAGCCACACUGGAACUGAGACACGGUCCAGACUCCUACGGGAGGCAGCAGUGGGGAAUAUUGCACAAUGGGCGCAAGCCUGAUGCAGCCAUGCCGCGUGUAUGAAGAAGGCCUUCGGGUUGUAAAGUACUUUCAGCGGGGAGGAAGGGAGUAAAGUUAAUACCUUUGCUCAUUGACGUUACCCGCAGAAGAAGCACCGGCUAACUCCGUGCCAGCAGCCGCGGUAAUACGGAGGGUGCAAGCGUUAAUCGGAAUUACUGGGCGUAAAGCGCACGCAGGCGGUUUGUUAAGUCAGAUGUGAAAUCCCCCGG
RNAcentral lists this ribosomal RNA (453 nucleotides) under Escherichia coli. RNAcentral describes it as "bacterial SSU rRNA". It matches the Rfam family "Bacterial small subunit ribosomal RNA", at positions 159 to 607 of the family's 1533-position model. The record is from RNAcentral. Lineage: Bacteria; Pseudomonadati; Pseudomonadota; Gammaproteobacteria; Enterobacterales; Enterobacteriaceae.